This is a long non-coding RNA of Solanum pennellii, 1534 nucleotides long. RefSeq lists it as uncharacterized. The transcript has 4 exons. Lineage: Eukaryota; Viridiplantae; Streptophyta; Magnoliopsida; Solanales; Solanaceae. The record is from RefSeq and is a predicted model, not a curated record.
GUUCUCCCUCCCAUUUUUAUUGGGCAAACAAAAUAAAACAUUACAAAAAUAUUAUUUUCAGCUAAAGAACAAAAAAUGUAACAUUUCCUAAAACAUCAGCUGAAGCUUUCAUUUUCACCUGAAGAACACCAUUUGCAAGAACUGAAGAACAAGAUCGAAGAACUGAAGAUCACAAUCGAUUUGUAGUACGAUUUCGGUAUAUUUCCGUCAAAUUUCAGCUGAAGAACAUGAUUUUCAGCUGAAGAACUGAACAACAAUAUGAUUUCUCUGAAGAUGAACUGAAGAAGCGAUUUUCCUCUCACAGCUUCCUUUUUGAAGAUUGAAAGAGAUGAAGAACACGGUUUUCUUCAAAGGUUCCUCGGUAAAGAGCUGUUCCAUCAGAUUUCUUGUUCAAAAUUGGAAAAAAAUGCUUCACAAAUCAACUUGCCUCAUGUGUUAAAGCUUAAGGGUUGUUGGAAUAGAGUUCAUCACGUGAGAUAUUUUAUCUUCAAAAGUCUAAAUUCUAGCUUUAAGAUUAUGAUAUUCUUGUGUGUCAAUCAAAAUUUUAAGUUAGGGUUUUUAUGUUGUUGAUACAAAUUUUGUUGAUUUUUGGGAGUUUAGCUUGUAGUUGUAUUACGUACAAAUGGGCUGAUUGUCUUUGACAGUCUAGUUUGUUCUCUAAUGUUGAAUGUACUAGCUGAAGCUAAGUCGCUUUAUAUGAAGAACUGAGCUGACACUUUGUCGUCUUUCUUCGAAGAACUGAAGUGUUGAAGCUGGCGAUACCUAUAAUACUCUGUCCCUAAUACAGAUUUCGUCAAGUAUAUUCUUGUGAGCUGGAGGCCGAAUUAGAGAUUGCUCGAAGAGAAAUUACAGAAGUAUUGAUGGCUCAAUUUGGAAAUGGAGAGAUAGAUGACAUCUAGUGUGGAACUGAUUUCUUCAGUCAACAUUCUAAUAAAUGAUCCAUAAUCGCAUGCCUGUUGAAAACUCUGCAUCCAAUCAUUGUUCCAAUACAAUUAUGUUUGCAGGGUAGUGCAUUACUAGUGUCUUGAAUCAUUCAGAAAAAGGGAGUGUAUAGAAGCCUUCUUAGUUUGCAAUCAUUGUCUUAAUUAAGCUGUAGGACGAGCAUUCUCAGAAAAAACCUGAGGAUCUUACAAUAUCUUUUUCAAGUUUUAGGAGCCAAUUCUUUUAAAGGGGCUCUUUUUAGCACAAACGAGAAAUUAAGCCAUGGAACAAAUAAAAUUUCUUCCAAGCUUGAUGCAGCCUUGUACAGUUCCAUGAAACCAAAUCUUAUUUGAGUAUCCUUGAUGGGCACCAACCAGAGGAAAAUACCGCGGCUUAUAAAUGAAUUUGAAAUGCAUGUGGCCAAAAGUAAAUUCGAUAUAUUGUAGUGAACGAUGAAGAGUUUUUGUACUUUUGUCAUAUAGGUUUGAAUGCAUUUGAUUUUUUGGAAUUUAUUGAUAGUACAGAUCUUUAAGCAAUCACUUUCCAAGAAUUGGUUGUACAAGACAUGUUUAUCGAAAUUUAUUUGAAACAUUUAACUUCUAUUUAGUUAUUA